Molecule: long non-coding RNA, 1351 nt
Organism: Galleria mellonella (greater wax moth)
Lineage: Eukaryota; Metazoa; Arthropoda; Insecta; Lepidoptera; Pyralidae
Exons: 2
Source: RefSeq, a predicted model, not a curated record
ACAAUCCCCUCCCCCCCCCCCCCAGUGGACAUAGUCGCGGUAUAUUACUAGUACACAAUGUUCGUUUGGAUAAAAUUUAUUGCAAGAAUAUGUUUCAUCACGGCUUCAUAAUAAUGGGGAAAACGUAUCAGUCGCCGUAACCGCACAGCUCGCUGCGAACGUUCACAAGCGACAUUCCAAUAGAAAAAGUACCUCGUCAUUAUCCUUAAGAAUCAUCGACAAUGAAAACGACAAUAUUGGCAUGCAUUUUAUAUGCGUGUAUGGUGCCAGUUAGGUGCGACAUUACACCUAAUACUACUAGCGUCGCUACAGUUAAUGCCACCGCCACUAGCGUGACAAUAUCCGCUACAAGCGCGACCCCAAUUACUACUAGCGCGACCCCAAUUAUUACUAGCGUGAGCCCAAACACUACUAGCGCGACCGCUACUAAAGAUAAUGACGACGUCAUUGACGGCAUGAUGUUUCUAACAGACAUAGCACUAGCGCCAUUCACAAUGACAGACAUGGAUAAUCGCUACGGAGACAUACUUACGCAUAUAGAGAUUUGUCCAGUUGGUUUUGUGACAUACGGUGGUAAAUGUUUUCCUUCUGUAAAAAUUGAUGUUCUGCUUUACAGUGACAACGAUUAGUGUUAUAUUUAUGUAUAAAAUCAUCAACAUAAGAUACAGCGAAGCAUUUCAAUACAAUACACUAGUGCAGGAGUUCCUAAAUUUUUAAGUUUUUUUUUUUAUACGACUUAGAAUGGCAAACAAGCUGACGGCCAACCUGAUGGGAAGUGGUAACCGUCGCCUAUAGACAUGAGCAGUACCAUGGACGUAACAGAAUAUACUGUUUCGCCCAUGAUACCCCCAAUGCGUUGCCAUUCCUGAGGACUCAGGUGUUAUUCCUCUGUACCCAGUAAAUUCACGCCAUAUCCCACCCUUCAAACCGAAACACAGCCAUGCAAACACAACUGCUUCACGGUUGAAACACAAAUGGGACAGAGGUACCCAAGCAAUCGACUUUUGUACAAAUAACUUACCCUCUGGUAAGUUAACGGAACGCCCGCCAAAUACCUUUUAUUUUAUGGAACCCCAAACUGAUUACAAAUAAAAAACCACUGUAAUUUAACUAAAAACAAAAGCUUUUAUUAAAAAAAAUUAAAAAGUACAACACUUUAUACUUUCUUUUAAUUUUUAAUGUGAAAAAUGUAAUUGUUUCACUGUAUAAAUAAUUUCUCGGAGCCCUGCUGGGUUUUUUACGCAACCCACUUUAGGACUGUACUAAUGGAUUAGGUCUAACUGUUCUUACGUUUAGAUGCAACCGCAGCAUGUUUUGUGUUUAAAAAACAAUAAAAUGAAGUUAAAUUAUU